This 351-nucleotide unclassified non-coding RNA is filed under the name soil metagenome. Its description in RNAcentral is "partial contains 5.8S ribosomal RNA, internal transcribed spacer 2, and large subunit ribosomal RNA". The stretch from base 1 to 120 matches the Rfam family "5.8S ribosomal RNA", at positions 35 to 154 of the family's 154-position model. The record is from RNAcentral.
GAUGAAGAACGUAGCGAAAUGCGAUAAGUAAUGUGAAUUGCAGAAUUCAGUGAAUCAUCGAAUCUUUGAACGCACAAUGCGCCCGCCAGUAUUCUGGCGGGCAUGCCUGUCUGAGCGUCAUUUCAACCCUCAGCCCCCGCUCGCGGGGCGCUGGCGUUGGGGAUCGGCCGUCCUCGCGGCGGCCGGCCCCGAAACACAGUGGCGGUCUCUCGCGGACUCCCCUGCGUAGUAGCACUACCUCGCAGAAGGGACGAGCGGGCUGACCACGCCGUAAAACCCCCCACUUCUCCAGGUUGACCUCAGAUCAGGUAGGAAUACCCGCUGAACUUAAGCAUAUCAAUAAGCGGAGGA